Molecule: ribosomal RNA, 339 nt
Filed under: uncultured bacterium
Lineage: Bacteria
Description: bacterial SSU rRNA
Rfam family: Bacterial small subunit ribosomal RNA
Source: RNAcentral
GCUCAGGACGAACGCUGGCGGCGCGCCUAACACAUGCAAGUCGAACGGAGCUUAGAGAGCUUGCUUUUUAAGCUUAGUGGCGAACGGGUGAGUAACGCGUGAGUAACCUGCCCUAGAGUGGGGGACAACAGUUGGAAACGACUGCUAAUACCGCAUAAGCCCACGGUACCGCAUGGUACUGAGGGAAAAGGAUUUAUUCGCUUUAGGAUGGACUCGCGUCCAAUUAGCUAGUUGGUGAGGUAACGGCCCACCAAGGCGACGAUUGGUAGCCGGACUGAGAGGUUGAACGGCCACAUUGGGACUGAGACACGGCCCAGACUCCUACGGGAGGCAGCAGUA